Molecule: ribosomal RNA, 396 nt
Filed under: uncultured bacterium
Lineage: Bacteria
Description: partial 16S ribosomal RNA
Rfam family: Bacterial small subunit ribosomal RNA
Source: RNAcentral
AUACGUAGGGAGCGAGCGUUGUCCGGAAUUACUGGGUGUAAAGGGUGCGUAGGCGGGACUGCAAGUCAGAUGUGAAAUGCCGGGGCUCAACCCCGGAGCUGCAUUUGAAACUGUGGUUCUUGAGUGAGGUAGAGGUAAGCGGAAUUCCUAGUGUAGCGGUGAAAUGCGUAGAUAUUAGGAGGAACAUCGGUGGCGAAGGCGGCUUACUGGGCCUUUACUGACGCUGAGGCACGAAAGCGUGGGGAGCAAACAGGAUUAGACACCCUGGUAGUCCACGCUGUAAACGAUGAUGACUAGGUGUGGGGGGACUGAACCCUUCCGUGCCGCAGUUAACACAAUAAGUCAUCCACCUGGGGAGUACGGCCGCAAGGUUGAAACUCAAAGGAAUUGGCGGGG